UACGUAGGGUGCAAGCGUUGUCCGGAAUUAUUGGGCGUAAAGAGCUCGUAGGCGGUUUGUCGCGUCUGCUGUGAAAACUGGAGGCUCAACCUCCAGCCUGCAGUGGGUACGGGCAGACUAGAGUGCGGUAGGGGAGAUUGGAAUUCCUGGUGUAGCGGUGGAAUGCGCAGAUAUCAGGAGGAACACCGAUGGCGAAAGCGCUCUACUGGGCCAUAACUGACACUGAGGGACGAAAGCGUGGGGAGCAAACAGG
RNAcentral lists this ribosomal RNA (253 nucleotides) under uncultured bacterium. RNAcentral describes it as "partial 16S ribosomal RNA". It matches the Rfam family "Bacterial small subunit ribosomal RNA", at positions 524 to 776 of the family's 1533-position model. The record is from RNAcentral.